Molecule: ribosomal RNA, 253 nt
Filed under: uncultured bacterium
Lineage: Bacteria
Description: partial 16S ribosomal RNA
Rfam family: Bacterial small subunit ribosomal RNA
Source: RNAcentral
GACAGAGGGUGCAACCGUUGUUCGGAAUUACUGGGCGUAAAGCGCGUGUAGGCUGCUUUGAAAGUCGGAUGUGAAAGCCCUGGGCUCAACCUAGGAAGUGCAUUCGAAACUUCGAAGCUGGAGUCCUGGAGAGGAAGGCGGAAUUCUCGGUGUAGAGGUGAAAUUCGUAGAUAUCGAGAGGAACACCGGUGGCGAAGGCGGCCUUCUGGACAGUGACUGACGCUGAGACGCGAAAGCGUGGGGAGCAAACAGG